AUUGAACGCUGGCGGCAGGCCUAACACAUGCAAGUCGAACGGUAACAGGAAACAGCUUGCUGUUUCGCUGACGAGUGGCGGACGGGUGAGUAAUGUCUGGGAAACUGCCUGAUGGAGGGGGAUAACUACUGGAAACGGUAGCUAAUACCGCAUAACGUCGCAAGACCAAAGAGGGGGACCUUCGGGCCUCUUGCCAUCGGAUGUGCCCAGAUGGGAUUAGCUUGUUGGUGGGGUAACGGCUCACCAAGGCGACGAUCCCUAGCUGGUCUGAGAGGAUGACCAGCCACACUGGAACUGAGACACGGUCCAGACUCCUACGGGAGGCAGCAGUGGGGAAUAUUGCACAAUGGGCGCAAGCCUGAUGCAGCCAUGCCGCGUGUAUGAAGAAGGCCUUCGGGUUGUAAAGUACUUUCAGCGGGGAGGAAGGGAGUAAAGUUAAUACCUUUGCUCAUUGACGUUACCCGCAGAAGAAGCACCGGCUAACUCCGCG
RNAcentral lists this ribosomal RNA (490 nucleotides) under uncultured bacterium. Its description in RNAcentral is "partial 16S ribosomal RNA". It matches the Rfam family "Bacterial small subunit ribosomal RNA", at positions 30 to 507 of the family's 1533-position model. The record is from RNAcentral.